UCGGUUAUUUGUACAAACUGCAUAUUGCAAUAUAGUAGAGACUUAGAAAUUUGCAAACUGCGUAAUUGCCAAUAUUUUAUGUAAAGCUACAAGUGAUAUGGACAUAAGAAGAAUAAUUACUUUUCGCUUAGGCUGAAUGUUGGAUGGUUUGCAGGACGAAAGAGUUCAUUUAAUUGAUUUUCUCGAACAGAAAUUGGCUACUGACUAGGAAUUGCGAAAUCGCAUUGUUUAAGAAGUUCUCGUUCUACUCCAAGGUCGAUUUUUUCGUUUUUAUUUGUCUUAGAAACAAAUUUCAACUUAUAUUUGCUGUAUAUACUGGUUUUUAAAACUCCAAAACUUGAGAAUGAUGAAUGGAAUCCUUAUUUCGUAUAUAUCCAACAAAAAAAAAGGUUAAAUCACUACUUUGCAUCUUUUGAGUAAUGUCUUAAUUGAACAAUUUUUUAAGUCGCAAAUCUUACAAAGUCACAAUUAAGGAUUGUAUAUCAAUUUGGUAAAACAAUAAAGAGGAUGAUUAAUCUAUAAUUGACAACAGAUUCAUUAGUUAAAUGAAUUUUCCUAGCACCACAAAUACACAUCGUGUUUGCUCUAUAACAGAGACAAAAAUAGUGAUGACUGUCAUCGAAAAUGAUUAAGUGAUGAUGCAUAUAAGAUAAUAAUACAAGGAAUAGAAAUAAAGGAGAAAAGUGACUUUUGCAAGAAAGUAAGAAAAUUAGUGAUGAAAUAAAAAAAACCCUCGCAACUGUUGGCAGCCCCUUGAUUUUUUUCUCUAGCCAUGACUUUUAGUUGCUGCCCGAUUCUACAUCUUUAGAAGUGUUGCAAUCGGUUUCCUCAGCCAUUGUAUUGUCACUUGCUGGCUCUGUGGUAAUUGCUUGGCCUCGCAUAGACGACAUUUCAACGUCGCCAGUCUCUUCAUCUUGUUCUAUUACUUCGAGCCCGAGAAUAAACAACAGUAAGGAUAAAAUAAUAUGAGCCAAACCUUGAAUUGCUUUAGCUACAUAUUUAGCUAGGCCUGCAAUCGCUUUAGCUAGACCUUCAUUCGCUUUAGCUACAGACGGUGCAUAAACAUAAGCUUCUUCAAACGCUAAUUUAAUUAACGAAAAUGAAACUAGAAAAUCGUUAGUCAUGAAUUCAAAUCAUCUCAAAAACUUACAAUAAACAA
Molecule: non-coding RNA, 1159 nt
Organism: Schizosaccharomyces pombe (fission yeast)
Lineage: Eukaryota; Fungi; Ascomycota; Schizosaccharomycetes; Schizosaccharomycetales; Schizosaccharomycetaceae
Source: the annotation of a GenBank genome assembly